AUGGCCUCCUCGGCUUCCUCCUCCAUCUCCCCAGCAGCCCUCCCAGCCACCACUCCACCUCCACCCCCCUCUCCCUGCCCCCCUCCCGAUCCAGAUCCAGAUCCCUUGCUUGCUGCCGCCGUUGGAGGGCUGGAGGCUCCCGUCCCUUGCUCCCUGGGGUGCUCUGAACUCCUGCUGCCACCUCCUCCACCUCGCCUUCCCGCGAACUCUACGCCAAAGCUGGUUGCCGAGGCACCUGUGACGUCUUCCGAGCAGCCUUGGGUGGAGGUUGGGGGACAGCAUCGUUCGCGGAUGGAGAAGGCGCCUGCUCCAUCUCCCAGGAAAGGGGUCGGUGUCUCCCUCGCCUUCAAGAGGAGAACGUAUGGCCGCUGCUUCCGUUGCCUCGCGUCGGAGCACUUUGUGGCUGACUGCCGUGACCCUAUAAGGUGCCUGGGUUGUGGCAUCUCUGGCCACCGCGAGCGGGAGUUCCCGACGCGCCUUCCGGCCAAACAAGCUUCAACCCCCCACUCCCCCUCGCAUGCGGCCUUUCCACGUCGGUCACCGGAUGCGCCACCCUACCACGCACCUCCGCCAUAUCCGCCACAUCGCUCGUGGGCCUCCGUUGCUGCCUCUCCGGCUGUGCUCGUUCAGGAGGCGCCUUGUAGCAACUCCGGCUCCCCCUGCUCAGGUCUUGCCGACCUCGUCAAGUCUUCCAUUGCUGCUGAAUUGGGGCUGCUGCAACCCCACUUUGCAGCUCAGAUCGAGGCCCUGCACACCGAGGUGCAAGCACUGGCUGCCACUCGUACAGAGGAGGUCAUUCAGCCUCUCCGCGACAUGGCGUUCGCUCUGCAGGGUUGGGCGGUUCAGGUUUCGAGCCUCUUAGAGCGGCUGGAGGCUAUCAGUGGCAGUGUUGUUUCUUCGCCGGCCAUCAAUGGGUCUCCUGAGGUGCAGGAGGAUGGGACUUUGAGGAUCGGUGGGGGACCUUUCUCUUCCUCGGCGCCGAUGGAUCCGCCUCCCCCCUGGUGUGAGCAUGAGGAACCGGCACCUCUCGUUGUUGCUUGUGCUAAGGGUGUCAGUGAGACUAGUGUGGUUGGUUGCUCGUCUGAGGUACUGGCUACUAUGGCGCUUCCUGCAGAUGUUCUUCCUACUUUGGAUGUAGUUUUGCACAAGAUGAUGAUUCAACACGAGGAGGAGCAAGGAACGGUUGAGGAGAUAGUCAAAAUGAGUAAGGACAUGGAGCAGAUUGAGGUGGUUUUGCCCACUGCCGCGACCCUAUAA
RNAcentral lists this ribosomal RNA (1257 nucleotides) under Triticum aestivum (bread wheat). RNAcentral describes it as "partial small subunit ribosomal RNA". The record is from RNAcentral. Lineage: Eukaryota; Viridiplantae; Streptophyta; Magnoliopsida; Poales; Poaceae.